GGCAGCGUAGCUCAGGGGUAGAGCGAAGGACUCAUAAGCCUUUGGUCGUGGGUUCGAUUCCCUCCGCUGCCAC
This 73-nucleotide transfer RNA is filed under the name subsurface metagenome. Its description in RNAcentral is "tRNA-Met". It matches the Rfam family "tRNA". From Rfam's summary of the family: Transfer RNA (tRNA) molecules are approximately 80 nucleotides in length. Their secondary structure includes four short double-helical elements and three loops (D, anti-codon, and T loops). The record is from RNAcentral.